GUCCACUUAAAAGUAUAUUCUUCCUUUAAUCUAUCUUGGGUUUCCAGGUCUAGAUUUAAGCUCAUAAUGAUUGACUUAGAUGUAUUGAGCUUAUAAUUUGACAUAUCUCCAAAUAAUUCUAAUUCUUUAAGUAGGGAUUUAAUCAAAUUUAAAGGAUCUGUUAAUGUCAUUAUGACAUCAUCGGAAUAUAGACUUAAUUUUGCC
Pelobates cultripes (western spadefoot toad) is the source of this 204-nucleotide non-coding RNA. The record is from the annotation of a GenBank genome assembly. NCBI's taxonomy places the organism in Eukaryota, Metazoa, Chordata, Amphibia, Anura, Pelobatidae.